Molecule: transfer RNA, 68 nt
Filed under: Paramesotriton zhijinensis
Lineage: Eukaryota; Metazoa; Chordata; Amphibia; Caudata; Salamandridae
Description: tRNA-Gly
Source: RNAcentral
GUCUUUUUAGUACAAUCAAUAUAAAUGACUUCCAAUCAUUUGAUCUUAGUUAUAUCUAAGAAAAGACA